RNAcentral lists this ribosomal RNA (460 nucleotides) under uncultured bacterium. RNAcentral's name for it is "partial 16S ribosomal RNA". It matches the Rfam family "Bacterial small subunit ribosomal RNA", at positions 338 to 795 of the family's 1533-position model. The record is from RNAcentral.
CCUACGGGAGGCAGCAGUGAGGAAUAUUGGUCAAUGGGCGGAAGCCUGAACCAGCCAAGUAGCGUGCAGGAUGACGGCCCUACGGGUUGUAAACUGCUUUUAUACGGGAAUAACGAGCCUUACGUGUAGGGCUUUGCAUGUACCGUAUGAAUAAGGACCGGUUAAUUCCGUGCCAGCAGCCGCGGUAAAUCGGAAGGUCCGGGCGUUCUCCGGAUUUUUUGGGUUUAAAGGGAGCGUAGGCCGCAUGUCAAGCGUGCUGUGAAAUGUGCGGGCUAAACCCGGGCCUUGCAGCGCGAACUGGCGUGCUUGAGUCCGCGGAAAGCAGGCGGAAUUCGUCGUGUAGCGGUGAAAUGCUUAGAUAUGACGAAGAACCCCGAUUGCGAAGGCAGCUUGCUGCAGCGGAACUGACGCUGAUGCUCGAAAGCGCGGGUAUCGAACAGGAUUAGAUACCCGGGUAGUC